GAAGUGCGUUUUUUCUGUAAAUUAUCUGAGUUUACUUUUACAUUCUGAAAUCUGUUGAACACAAUUGAGAUACCUAAUGUAAGAUGGUUUGGAGUUGAGGGAGACUACAAUGUUCUUAUAAUGGAUUUGCUUAGUCCCAGCCUUAAAAAUCUUUUUAACUUUCGUAGCAAAAAGCAUUCUUUGAAGACAAUUCCUAUGCUUGCAUAUCAAAUGAUAGAUUUCUUGGUUUUUUCUCCUUUCAUUUCUCUGUUCACUUCUCAUUUUGUCCUUGUCCCUAUCAAACAAUUUUCCCUCACAGCAUCUUCUUCUUUGGCACACAGAUCGCCGAUUACUCCACCAGAAUCAUAGGCUUUGUUGGAUGAUACUACACCAGAAUCAUAGACUAAUUUUCAAGAUAAACAUUCAUAGGAGUUGUUGGGGGAAAUUUUCUCCUCAGCAAGGAACCUCCUCAUUGUCCAAUUUUGCUUGAUUUUGGGCUUACUAAAAAGUUACCGACCACCAUGAAACAAGCACUGGCAAAGAUGUUUUUAGUCGUUGCAGAGAGGGAAGCUGAAAUGCAAGGAAUGUAUGCAAGGUAGUCGCAGGGAAGAGGUUAAGAUGUUGACACCUUACUAGGGCAUGCGUUGAGAACUAUGCUUCAGAUGAAUUUUAGAUUUGUUGUGAUAUCUGUGAGAAAUGGUUUCAUGGGAAAU
Molecule: long non-coding RNA, 692 nt
Organism: Cucumis melo (muskmelon)
Lineage: Eukaryota; Viridiplantae; Streptophyta; Magnoliopsida; Cucurbitales; Cucurbitaceae
Exons: 3
Source: RefSeq, a predicted model, not a curated record